This 346-nucleotide ribosomal RNA is filed under the name Eleodes quadricollis. RNAcentral's name for it is "partial 12S ribosomal RNA". Lineage: Eukaryota; Metazoa; Arthropoda; Insecta; Coleoptera; Tenebrionidae. The record is from RNAcentral.
UAAAAGUGUUAUUAUUUAACUAUAAUUAUUAUAAGUUAUGAUCUUUAAAAUUAAAAAAUUUGGCGGUAUUUUAGUCUAUUCAGAGGAACCUGUUUUUUAAUCGAUAGUCCACGAUAAUUUUUACUUUAACUUUAAAUUUAUAUAUCGUCGUUAAUAAAAAUUUUAGGAAAAUUUAAAUUUUUAGGAUUUUUAAUUAGAAUUAAAUUCAGAUCAAGGUGUAGUUUAUGUUAAAGUUAAAAUGGGUUACAAUAUAUUUAUAUGUGGUUUAUUAAUUUAAAAUUAAUUUUAAAAUGGAUUUGAUAGUAAAUUUUUUAUUUUAAAAGAUUGAUUUAGCUCUAAAAUAUGC